AAUUGCAUAUCCAAAAAGCGGAGGAAAAGAAACCAACAGGGAUUGCCCUAGUAACGGCGAGUGAAGCGGCAACAGCUCAAAUUUGAAAGCUAGCCUUCGGGUUCGCAUUGUAAUUUGUAGAGGAUACUUUGGGUAAAACGCCAGUCUAAGUUCCUUGGAACAGGACGUCAUAGAGGGUGAGAAUCCCGUAUGUGACUGGAAACGUUGACCUAUGUAAAGUUCCUUCGACGAGUCGAGUUGUUUGGGAAUGCAGCUCUAAAUGGGAGGUAAAUUUCUUCUAAAGCUAAAUAUUGGCGAGAGACCGAUAGCGCACAAGUAGAGUGAUCGAAAGAUGAAAAGCACUUUGGAAAGAGAGUUAAAAAGCACGUGAAAUUGUUGAAAGGGAAGCGCUUGCAAUCAGACUUGUUUAAACUGUUCGGCCGGUCUUCUGACCGGUUUACUCAGUUUGGACAGGCCAGCAUCAGUUUCGGCGGCCGGAUAAAGGCUCUGGGAAUGUGGCCUCCACUUCGGUGGAGGUGUUAUAGCCCAGUGUGUAAUACGGCCAGCCGGGACUGAGGUCCGCGCUCGGCUAGGAUGCUGCGUAAAGCGCCCG
This 592-nucleotide ribosomal RNA is filed under the name Aureobasidium pullulans. RNAcentral's name for it is "eukaryotic LSU rRNA". It matches the Rfam family "Eukaryotic large subunit ribosomal RNA", at positions 31 to 640 of the family's 3401-position model. Lineage: Eukaryota; Fungi; Ascomycota; Dothideomycetes; Dothideales; Saccotheciaceae. The record is from RNAcentral.